UACGUAGGGGGCAAGCGUUGUCCGGAUUCAUUGGGCGUAAAGAGCUCGUAGGCGGCUUGGCAAGUCGGGUGUGAAAACUCCAGGCUCAACCUGGAGACGCCACCCGAUACUGCCAUGGCUUGAGUCCGGUAGGGGACCACGGAAUUCCUGGGGUAGCGGUGAAAUGCGCAGAUAUCAGGAGGAACACCGGUGGCGAAGGCGGUGGUCUGGGCCGGUACUGACGCUGAGGAGCGAAAGCGUGGGGAGCGAACAGG
RNAcentral lists this ribosomal RNA (254 nucleotides) under uncultured bacterium. RNAcentral describes it as "partial 16S ribosomal RNA". It matches the Rfam family "Bacterial small subunit ribosomal RNA", at positions 524 to 776 of the family's 1533-position model. The record is from RNAcentral.